RNAcentral lists this ribosomal RNA (418 nucleotides) under uncultured bacterium. RNAcentral's name for it is "bacterial SSU rRNA". It matches the Rfam family "Bacterial small subunit ribosomal RNA", at positions 362 to 777 of the family's 1533-position model. The record is from RNAcentral.
UAUUGGUCAAUGGUCGUAGGACUGAACCAGCCAAGUAGCGUGCGGGACGACUGCCCUAUGGGUUGUAAACCGCUUUUGCAGGGGGAUAAAGUGAGGCACGGGUGCCUUUUUGCAUGUACCCUGAGAAUAAGGACCGGCUAAUUCCGUGCCAGCAGCCGCGGUAAUACGGAAGGUCCGGGCGUUAUCCGGAUUUAUUGGGUUUAAAGGGAGCGCAGGCCGUGGAUUAAGCGUGACGUGAAAUGCCGUGGCUCAACCAUGUAAGUGCGUCGCGAACUGGUCUACUUGAGUGGGUACGACGCCGGCGGAAUUCGUGGUGUAGCGGUGAAAUGCUUAGAUAUCACGAAGAACCCCGAUUGCGCAGGCAGCCGGCGAAUCCCUUACUGACGCUAAUGCUCGAAAGUGCGGGUAUCGAACAGGA